UGUGGUUUGAAGGCAUGGAAAUCGGUUGCAUCAUGAUGUAUUUUGUAUCUCUUCUUGAGACUUGUUGAUGCAAAAUAUUGGACCCAUGAAGGUUAAUCAAGGAUUGAUAAGGUACGCAUUGUUUAAGUCUUAUGCUUGUAAAUCUUUUCAAUUUGAACUAUGAUGUCGGUUUAGAGGAUGAAAUUUGACUACUAAAGUUUCCUUUGGACAUCGAAAUUGAAAUGAUGAAAUUGAAUUUGUUAUGGAUGCAUAAAUUCAUGAUAGAAGCACAUAAUUGUUUCUGGCAGAUUACGUGUCUUGAUUUAAAUCGGGUGAAUGACAUGUCUAAUGGUCACCAAAUGACCUGAAUUUUGGAUAUGUUUAACAUAUAAAUGUCUAAUAUGUGUCUUCAAAGUUCCGUAAUUUUCUGCCACGUAUGUUAAUUAUGGUGAAUUUACUUGUAACCCAUGCUCGUAUAGACAGUUUUUACUGGCAGAUUGUGUUGUUUUUUUUGAGACGUGACUUUAGACUACUAUUUUGACCUAAAAUGGCUCUGUAUUUAUAUUUUAUGAAGAUUAGUAUGUCUAUAUUGAUCAGUAUAAAUUUGGUAGCAAUCAAGCUUGUAAAUUAAUUAUGAUAAAUUCUAAAGUAAGUGUAACUCAUUGCUGAAAUUCUGUUUGACAACUUUAUGUUGGUUGUGAUGUCUAUUUUAUUAUGUCUAAUAUAUAAAGAAAUUUUCUUUAGGUACAUCUUUGAAAGAAUAUAUUAACGAGUGUUUUCCCAAGUGGGAGAAUUAGUGAACAAAAAUUGGGCUUCAUACUCAUUAACUUAUUUGCAAGUAUAAACUCUGAAAACUUAGUGGGAGUUGUUCUAAAAUUUUGAGCACUAAGUGGACUUGCAUGAAUCUAUUAAAGCAUUAUUCUAUCUUCCAUGAAUUUGUAUUACUUGAAUGUCUAUAAUAUGUUUAUGUUGCACAAAUGGAUACUUGGUAUAUGCGUACAUUUUCUAUUACUUGCAAUCAUUUAGAUUUCUCAAUUGAUCAUAUUGUUUUGGGGCUCAUAAGGACUUAGCGUAAAUGUGGACUUAUUAAUACAUAUAAGAUGGUUGUUGGAUGCACGUUUUUUUUGUGUAAACAGCAGUGAAUGCUUUCAUGCUUAGUUGUACCUUUCAUUGAGGUAAUAUGCAUUCAUUGACUAAGUAAGGCUAUUCCCAAAGGCAUAUUUUCAAAAGUAUGAUUUAAGUAUUGAUUUGCAAAUUAAGUAACGAUGUUGCAGAUCAGUGGGAGUUUGAGUUUCGUGUUAGUAAUGCCUUACAUUUGCAGAUGACCUAUAAAGUAUGUGUUGAUGCACAAAACCUGAGGUCUUGGAACAAUGUAAAUAUGACCGUGAAUCUGCAUGUAAAGUAAAUAACACAAGAUGCAUCGUGGUUCGCCCCAAGGUUUGAGCUACGUCCACAGUAUUUG
This 1441-nucleotide long non-coding RNA is filed under the name Malus domestica (apple). RNAcentral describes it as "long non-coding RNA (MDOM_LNC001228)". Lineage: Eukaryota; Viridiplantae; Streptophyta; Magnoliopsida; Rosales; Rosaceae. The record is from RNAcentral.